This 437-nucleotide ribosomal RNA is filed under the name uncultured bacterium. RNAcentral describes it as "partial 16S ribosomal RNA". It matches the Rfam family "Bacterial small subunit ribosomal RNA", at positions 28 to 507 of the family's 1533-position model. The record is from RNAcentral.
GAUGAACGCUGGCGGCAUGCUUAACACAUGCCAGUCGGACGGGAAGUGCUGUUUCCUGUGGCGUGCUGGUGUGUAACGCGUAAGAAUCUGCCCUUGGGAGGCGAACAACAGCUGGAAGCGGCUUCUAAUACCCCGUAGGCUGAGCAGCAAAAGGAGGCAUCCGCCGGAGGGGGGGCUCGCGUCUGAUUAGCUAGUUGGUGAGGCAAUAGCUUACCAAGGCGAUGAUCAGUGGGUGGUCCGAGAGGAUGAUCGGCCACACUAGGACGGAGACACGGACCCGACUACGGGGGGAAGCAGCAGGGAAGAAUGUACCACAAUGGGAGAAAGGAUGCAGCAGCGCUGCCGGGUGGAGGUAGGAGGUCAGGGGGUCGUGAACUUCUUUUCCCGAAGAAGAGGGAGUGACGGUAAUUGGGAAAGAAGCAUCGGCUAACUAUGUG